AAAAAGACAAACCCUGAGUUUUCGUGUCCAACUUUGACUGUCCGUCUUAUAUGAAAUUUUUUUAUAAUUCGUAUUUUUAUUGUUGUUAGAUGAUAAAACAUCGUUAAUAUUUUAUGCGUGACUUGUCUUUUUAAUUUUUUUCAUAUUUUUUUCAAAUAAGACGGACGGUCAAAUGUUGGACACGGAAAUCAGGGUUUGUCUUUUU
Oryza glumipatula is the source of this 205-nucleotide non-coding RNA. NCBI's taxonomy places the organism in Eukaryota, Viridiplantae, Streptophyta, Magnoliopsida, Poales, Poaceae. The record is from Rfam.